This 301-nucleotide ribosomal RNA is filed under the name uncultured bacterium. RNAcentral's name for it is "partial 16S ribosomal RNA". It matches the Rfam family "Bacterial small subunit ribosomal RNA", at positions 509 to 807 of the family's 1533-position model. The record is from RNAcentral.
CAGUAGCCGCGGUAAUACAGAGGGUGCGAGCGUUAAUCGGAUUUACUGGGCGUAAAGCGUGCGUAGGCGGCUUCUUAAGUCGGAUGUGAAAUCCAUGAGCUUAACUUAGGAAUUGCAUUCGAUACUGGGAAGCUAGAGUAUGGGAGAGGAUGGUAGAAUUCCAGGUGUAGCGGUGAAAUGCGUAGAGAUCUGGAGGAAUACCGAUGGCGAAGGCAGCCAUCUGGCCUAAUACUGACGCUGAGGUACGAAAGCAUGGGGAGCAAACAGGAUUAGAUACCCGCGUAGUCCCUGUCUCUUAUAC